RNAcentral lists this ribosomal RNA (256 nucleotides) under uncultured bacterium. RNAcentral describes it as "partial 16S ribosomal RNA". It matches the Rfam family "Bacterial small subunit ribosomal RNA", at positions 524 to 776 of the family's 1533-position model. The record is from RNAcentral.
UACGUAGGGUGCGAGUGUUGUCCGGAAUUAUUGGGCGUAAAGAGCUCGUAGGCGGUGUGUCGCGUCGGCCCGUGAAAACCUGGGGCUUAACUCUGGGCGUGCGGUCGAUACGGGCAUCACUAGAGUUCGGUAGGGGGAGACUGGAAUUCCUGGUGUAGCGGUGAAAUGCGCAGAUAUCAGGAGGAACACCGGUGGCGAAGGCGGGUCUCUGGGCCGAUACUGACGCUGAGGAGCGAAAGCGUGGGGAGCGAACAGG